AAAUCAAACUAAAUUUGUGUGCAUCAAUCUUGGUUGUUUGUGCUUCUUUUGUUUUGAAGUUAUUCAUGAAAGUUUAAAGGUCAAAAUGUCGCCCGUCCCUCCAACCCAAAUCUAACAAAACCGGUGUAAAACAUUUUUGCAGCAAAUAUUUUUCUUUGUGUUUCUAUCAUUUUAAAGAUAAUAAUGUUACCAGAGGUCAUAAAAGGUCAACCUGACCCCCCCCCCCACACACACACACACACACACCUUCUUCAAAUAAAACUAAAUUGGUGUCAAUCAACUCUGCUAUAUUUGUGCAGCAAAACUUUUGGUUUGUGCCACAGCACAAAUAUUUGACACAAACACUAACGGGUGAUGUGGGGCGGCUGGUUGACCUUUAAACUUUGAUUAAUAUCUUCAAAACAAAAGCAGCACAAACAAAAAUGUUAACAGUGCAAACGCAGCAGAGCUGAUGGUGAACGACUUUGUUUGAUUUCAUAAAAGUGGGGGGCCUGGCUGACCUUUCAUGACCUCUGGAAACAUUUAUUAAUAUCUUUAAAAUCUUAGCGGCACAAAUGAAACUUUUUGCAGCACAAACGUAGCACAGCUUGUGUUUAUGAGGUCAUCGUUUCAGCACAUUGUCCACAUUGAUGGACACGCUUCGACGGAGACCUACUGUCUCAGGUCAAGGAGGUCCAGAGGAACCUAAACGCCUCCUGAUCCGACCUGCAGCUUUUCCAUGCAUGUUGGAAUAUUUUCAGCAUUUCGUGACAAACAUUUCGUCUUUAUGAGCUGUAAAGAUUCUUUAUAGGUGACGAAUAAGGAAGCAGUUACAGAGACAACAGAAAUCCACCUAUAAAGACGCCUGGCAGCUUUGGAGCAAUUCAAGGCAACCUUUGAUCAGCUGACCUGUAAAUACACUGUGUUUUUCCUCACCAACACUUCCUCCUGCUCCGCUCACCUUAAGGCUUCAGACACGAACGCUUGGAAACUGUAAACACCCAGCAGCCUGCAGCAUGGAGGCCUGGUUCUGCGUCGUCCUCACGUUGGUUGUUCCUGCACCCAACUCUGCAACAACCACACUUGGACCUACUACAGCUUGGUCUACAACUACAGCUGCACCACCUCUGGAGGCCACCACUGAUGCAGCUGCCACCAUGUCGACUCACCAUACGACCAAGUCAUCCACCAUCACUGACACAACAACUGCAGCAACAGAGAGAAUCACACCAGAGACCGAAGCUCCUGAUACUACUAUUACUACUACUCUGAUUACUGGCGUUCCCACUACUAUUACUGCUGCUCCUA
Poecilia latipinna (sailfin molly) is the source of this 1287-nucleotide long non-coding RNA. RefSeq lists it as uncharacterized. The transcript is spliced from 3 exons. Lineage: Eukaryota; Metazoa; Chordata; Actinopteri; Cyprinodontiformes; Poeciliidae. The record is from RefSeq and is a predicted model, not a curated record.